This 429-nucleotide ribosomal RNA is filed under the name uncultured bacterium. Its description in RNAcentral is "bacterial SSU rRNA". It matches the Rfam family "Bacterial small subunit ribosomal RNA", at positions 917 to 1344 of the family's 1533-position model. The record is from RNAcentral.
GGACCCGCACAAGUAGUGGAGCAUGUGGUUUAAUUCGAAGAUACGCGCAGAACCUUACCAACACUUGACAUGUUCGUCGCGACUCUAAGAGAUUAGAGUUUUCGGUUCGGCCGGACGAAACACAGGUGCUGCAUGGCUGUCGUCAGCUCGUGUCGUGAGAUGUUGGGUUAAGUCCCGCAACGAGCGCAACCCUCACUUUUAGUUGCCAUCAUUAAGUUGGGCACUCUGAAAGAACUGCCAGUGAUAAGCUGGAGGAAGGUGGGGAUGACGUCAAGUCCUCAUGGCCCUUACGUGUUGGGCUACACACGUGCUACAAUGGUAUCUACAACAGGAAGCAAGACGGCGACGUUAAGCAAAUCCUCAAAAGAUACCUCAGUUCGGAUUGCACUCUGCAACUCGAGUGCAUGAAGCUGGAAUUACUAGUAAUCG